This 1017-nucleotide long non-coding RNA is filed under the name Phasianus colchicus (ring-necked pheasant). Its description in RNAcentral is "lncRNA (ENSPCLG00000009338.1)". Lineage: Eukaryota; Metazoa; Chordata; Aves; Galliformes; Phasianidae. The record is from RNAcentral.
AUGCCGGCACACGGCCCUUGUGUGCGAUGCCGGCACACGGCCCUUGUGUGCGAUGCCGGCACACGGCCCUGCCCCGCCGCACGCCGCUCCCGCAGCCCCGCACCGCGGUGCGGCACAGGACGCAGCGCAGCCCCCCGGGGCUCCCAGCGGUCGGGGCGGGCACAGCUCCACGGAACGAGGCCCCCCGGCCCGCACGCACAGACAGACACACAGACGCACACGUGCGGUCGGACGCUCUCCGCACGCGGACUCUGCGGAACCCCGCGCCCCCGCGGAAAGGCCGUCCGCAGCCGUACGGACGGGCGCCUCGCGGUACCGCCGCUCACCCCUACGGGAGCCCCGAAGCCCCCGCCGACUCGAACCGCCCGUCGCCCGCGGCCCUGCCCGGCCCGGCCCGCUCUCACCUGCCGCGCCACCUCGGCCGCCGCCAUCGCUGCCCGCCCGCCACAGGGCCCGCCCCGCCCGGCCGGGCGGCUCCGGACGCGCCCACCGCGCCGCCUCACGGGGGUGGAACCGCCUCGUCGCCCCGCGCCGCUGGCCCCGCCCGUGCCGCGACCCCGCGCCGCGACCCCGCGCCGCUUUCGCGCUCGGUACCGCCGGUCCCGGCGCCGCCGUCGCGCUGCGGAAGGCGCGGGGUUGCGGUUCCCCCCCGCGGCAGCCGGCGGUGGUGCGGGCCGGGCGGAGGGCGGGGCCGGGCGGAGGGCGGCGGCGCCGCGGUUGGGCGCCGUGGGGAACGGCGUUAGGGCGAGGGAAGGCGGGGCUGCCGGCGCUUCCUGUAGCGCUGUGAGAGCGAGGGCGGUGCCGGAGGACGGGGACGAGGAGCGGAAUGAGUCCCACGGCUCAGGAGGAAACGCACUCAGCAGCAGGAUGGGCUUUGCCACAGACACAUCCAGCACAUUGCAUCAUUGCUGCCUGCUGAGCAGAGGUGAUGGCUGACCACAGGCCUGCCCUGGAGAAGGGGACGGUGCAGCCCACGUGGGUUCAGUGCUAAGUCAGAGCCUCCUGCAGUUCCCUGCA